RNAcentral lists this transfer RNA (72 nucleotides) under Phrynosoma platyrhinos (Desert horned lizard). RNAcentral's name for it is "tRNA-OTHER". The record is from RNAcentral. Lineage: Eukaryota; Metazoa; Chordata; Lepidosauria; Squamata; Phrynosomatidae.
GCCAUUGUGGCAUAGUGGUUUGCAUGUUGGACUAUGACUCUGGAGACUAGGGUUCAAAUCCGCACUCAGUCA